Oncorhynchus kisutch (coho salmon) is the source of this 1446-nucleotide long non-coding RNA. RefSeq lists it as uncharacterized. The transcript has 3 exons. Lineage: Eukaryota; Metazoa; Chordata; Actinopteri; Salmoniformes; Salmonidae. The record is from RefSeq and is a predicted model, not a curated record.
CUCUCUCUCUCUUUCAGACGGUGAAAGGAGGGAUCUCUGAGACUCGCAUUGAGAAGAGGAUUGUUAUAACUGGAGACACAGAGAUUGAUCACGACAAGGCUCUGGCCCAGGCCAUCAAGGAGGCGAAGGAGCAGCACCCGGACAUGUCUGUGACCAAAGUGGUGGUGCAUCAGGAAACAGAGAUCACCCCAGAUUAACCCCAGGCUCACCUCUCCUAUAACCAGCUGGGGGCCAAAACUACCACGGCGCCUGAGGAAGAUCAACUCACAUACAGCCCCCCAACCCUCCCUUGUUCGCUUGUGUCACCACCAUUCCUACAUGUUUACCUCAGAGCCCCAUUCCCUCACACCACCCAACUGCACUGCCUUGCAGACAGACACACACACACCACACCAGACUGGACCAGUCCAACCAACCAGAGUGAACAAGCUUCACUUUUGAACUAUGAACUUUGAUCCUCCCAGCCAAUGGAGUUUAACUGAAGGAGAAGGGAACAAACAUAACUCUCCAGACAACUCCCAGAACAAUCCCUCUCGGUCGCUCUCCCUUCCACUCUACUGCCAAAUCCCGAAUGACUGAACUGGAUCUUCCAAACAUCAAAAAUAUUGAAAUAAAGUAUUUGAAUUUUUUUCCCCUUUCUCCCAUUUUUCUGGAGAUUUUAACGAGAAUUUUCAAAUGGCAUUUGGUCUUUUAAUUGUGUAGAGAUUGCAGGGACUUUGUUCAUAUUUUUCUAAGAUUUUUCUUCUCGUCGUAAUUGGAAAAUCAGUAUCUUCAAGGUCAACUUUGAAGGGACUCUUAUUCUGAAGGGGGGAUGAUAACAAGGGAUUGUGGGUGAUUUUUUCUGUAACUCUUAUUAAACCAUCAUGAUACGAGGAUCCCUCUUCAAAUCAAACAACUUUACAACCAAUUUUGGUUUCAUCUCUUGUACAGUACAAAAAGUUUGUAAUAUUUAUUUUCCCUCUCAAUGUGAAAAGUAUUUUUUCAAUUUAAGUGUAAAAAAGAUAUGAUUCCAUCCAAACAUUUGAGGGCCAAUGUAAUAUCUCUUUGAAGAAAUUGCUUCAUUAUCUAUUCUUCUAGAUGAUAUUCACACCUUUUGACUGUUUGUGUUUGUUUUUAGUCGUCGUUGUUGUUGUAGUCACACUGGGGGAAGAAAGGGGCUUCAUCAGAACUGGAGUGAAGGAAGCAGCGUAUUGAAAUGACUAUUUAUACUUACUAUUUUAUUUACAUGAUUAUUUCUGCAUAUUGUAUCCAUUCAUUUUAGAUCACCCUGACUUUACAGGUUUGUAGUUAUGUGUUUUUGUAUUAGGCUACUUGUAUUAGGCUACUACACUGCGUUCCAACCACCAGCUACAUAACAGUCAUCCAUUUGUACCUGGCAUGGCAGAGCAGCAGAGGCAACUUCACAAUGUCCUUCAUUUUCAUGUAUUUAUACUUUUCUACCAAAGG